RNAcentral lists this ribosomal RNA (437 nucleotides) under uncultured Bifidobacterium sp. Its description in RNAcentral is "bacterial SSU rRNA". It matches the Rfam family "Bacterial small subunit ribosomal RNA", at positions 192 to 640 of the family's 1533-position model. Lineage: Bacteria; Bacillati; Actinomycetota; Actinomycetes; Bifidobacteriales; Bifidobacteriaceae. The record is from RNAcentral.
GUCGUGUCGGGAAAGAUUCAUCGGUAUGGGAUGGGGUCGCGUCCUAUCAGCUUGAUGGCGGGGUAACGGCCCACCAUGGCUUCGACGGGUAGCCGGCCUGAGAGGGCGACCGGCCACAUUGGGACUGAGAUACGGCCCAGACUCCUACGGGAGGCAGCAGUGGGGAAUAUUGCACAAUGGGCGCAAGCCUGAUGCAGCGACGCCGCGUGCGGGAUGACGGCCUUCGGGUUGUAAACCGCUUUUGACUGGGAGCAAGCCCUUCGGGGUGAGUGUACCUUUCGAAUAAGCACCGGCUAACUACGUGCCAGCAGCCGCGGUAAUACGUAGGGUGCAAGCGUUAUCCGGAAUUAUUGGGCGUAAAGGGCUCGUAGGCGGUUCGUCGCGUCCGGUGUGAAAGUCCAUCGCUUAACGGUGGAUCCGCGCCGGGUACGGGCGGG